Molecule: non-coding RNA, 324 nt
Organism: Epinephelus lanceolatus (giant grouper)
Lineage: Eukaryota; Metazoa; Chordata; Actinopteri; Perciformes; Serranidae
Source: RefSeq, a predicted model, not a curated record
CAGACUCUGUCCCUGACUGACUCGCGCCUGCGCUCACGAGGCACCGUGCUGGUCAACGCCCUGGGCAGCAACACCUGCCUGAGAAAAGUGGACCUGAGCGGGAACAACAUGGACGACAUCGGAGCCAAGAUGCUGAGCAAAGCCCUGCAGAUCAACACCACGCUCAGGAGUGUGACAUGGGAUCGCAACAACACCUCCGCAGCAGGAUUUCUAGAUGUGGCCCGAGCACUUGAGCACAAUUUCACCUUGCAGUACAUGCCUCUACCCCUCAGUGACAUCAGCCAGGCGUACCGCAGCGCCCCUGAGAGGACAGAGCAGGCACUG